RNAcentral lists this ribosomal RNA (305 nucleotides) under uncultured bacterium. Its description in RNAcentral is "partial 16S ribosomal RNA". It matches the Rfam family "Bacterial small subunit ribosomal RNA", at positions 506 to 809 of the family's 1533-position model. The record is from RNAcentral.
ACAGCAGUAGCCGCGGUAAUACGUAGGUGGCAAGCGUUGUCCGGAAUUAUUGGGCGUAAAGGGCUCGCAGGCGGUUUCUUAAGUCUGAUGUGAAAGCCCCCGGCUCAACCAGGGAGGGUCAUUGGAAACUGGGAAACUUGAGUGCAGAAGAGGAGAGUGGAAUUCCACGUGUAGCGGUGAAAUGCGUAGAGAUGUGGAGGAACACCAGUGGCGAAGGCGACUCUCUGGUCUGUAACUGACGCUGAGGAGCGAAAGCGCGGGGAGCGAACAGGAUUAGAUACCCCCGUAGUCCCUGUCUCUUAUAA